GAGACACGGCCCAGACUCCUACGGGAGGCAGCAGUGGGGAAUUUUCCGCAAUGGGCGAAAGCCUGACGGAGCAACGCCGCGUGAGGGACGAAGGCCUCUGGGCUGUAAACCUCUUUUCUCAAGGAAGAAGAUAUGACGGUACUUGAGGAAUAAGCCACGGCUAAUUCCGUGCCAGCAGCCGCGGUAAUACGGGAGUGGCAAGCGUUAUCCGGAAUUAUUGGGCGUAAAGCGUCCGCAGGCGGCUUUUCAAGUCUGCUGUUAAAGCGUGGAGCUUAACUCCAUCAUGGCAGUGGAAACUGAAAGGCUUGAGUAUGGUAGGGGCAGAGGGAAUUCCCGGUGUAGCGGUGAAUGCGUAGAUAUCGGGAAGAACACCAGUGGCGAAGGCGCUCUGCUGGGCCAUUACUGACGCUCAUGGACGAAAGCCAGGGGAGCGAAAGGGAUUAGAUACCCCUGUAGUCCUGGCCGUAAACGAUGAACACUAGGUGUCGGGGGAAUCGACCCCUUCGGUGUCGUAGCUAACGCGUUAAGUGUUCCGCCUGGGGAGUACGCACGCAAGUGUGAAACUCAAAGGAAUUGACGGGGGCCCGCACAAGCGGUGGAGUAUGUGGUUUAAUUCGAUGCAACGCGAAGAACCUUACCAGGGUUUGACAUCCUGCGAACCUCUUAGAAAUUUGAGGGUGCCUUCGGGAAUGCAGUGACAGGUGGUGCAUGGCUGUCGUCAGCUCGUGUCGUGAGAUGUUGGGUUAAGUCCCGCAACGAGCGCAACCCACGUUUUUAGUUGCCAGCAUUUAGUUGGGCACUCUAGAAAGACCGCCGGUGAUAAACCGGAGGAAGGUGUGGAUGACGUCAAGUCAUCAUGCCCCUUACACCCUGGGCUACACACGUACUACAAUGCUACGGACAAAGGGCAGCAAACUCGCGAGAGCUAGCAAAUCCCAUAAACCGUGGCUCAGUUCAGAUCGUAGGCUGCAACUCGCCUACGUGAAGUAGGAAUCGCUAGUAAUCGCAGGUCAGCAUACUGCGGUGAAUACGUUCCCGGGCCUUGUACACACCGCCCGUCACACCAUGGAAGUUGGCCAUGCCCGAAGUCGUUACUCCA
This 1099-nucleotide ribosomal RNA is filed under the name uncultured marine bacterium. Its description in RNAcentral is "bacterial SSU rRNA". It matches the Rfam family "Bacterial small subunit ribosomal RNA", at positions 321 to 1437 of the family's 1533-position model. The record is from RNAcentral.